This 253-nucleotide ribosomal RNA is filed under the name uncultured bacterium. RNAcentral describes it as "partial 16S ribosomal RNA". It matches the Rfam family "Bacterial small subunit ribosomal RNA", at positions 524 to 776 of the family's 1533-position model. The record is from RNAcentral.
GACAGAGGAUGCAAGCGUUAUCCGGAAUGAUUGGGCGUAAAGCGUCUGUAGGUGGCUUUUUAAGUCCGCCGUCAAAUCCCAGGGCUCAACCCUGGACAGGCGGUGGAAACUACCAAGCUGGAGUACGGUAGGGGCAGAGGGAAUUUCCGGUGGAGCGGUGAAAUGCGUAGAGAUCGGAAAGAACACCAGUGGCGAAGGCGGCUCACUGGACUGGUAUUGACGCUGAGGUGCGAAAGCGUGGGGAGCAAACAGG